RNAcentral lists this ribosomal RNA (468 nucleotides) under uncultured bacterium. RNAcentral's name for it is "partial 16S ribosomal RNA". It matches the Rfam family "Bacterial small subunit ribosomal RNA", at positions 28 to 507 of the family's 1533-position model. The record is from RNAcentral.
GACGAACGCUGGCGGCGUGCUUAACACAUGCAAGUCGAACGGAAAGGCCCUGCUUUUGUGGGGUGCUCGAGUGGCGAACGGGUGGGUAACACGUGAGUAACCUGCCCUUGACUUUGGGAUAACUUCAGGAAACUGGGGCUAAUACCGGAUAGGAGCUCCUGCUGCAUGGUGGGGGUUGGAAAGUUUCGGCGGGUGGGGAUGGACUCGCGGCUUAUCAGCUUGUUGGUGGGGUAGUGGCUUACCAAGGCUUUGACGGGUAGCCGGCCUGAGAGGGUGACCGGCCACAUGGGGACUGAGAGACGGCCCAGACUCCUACGGGAGGCAGCAGUGGGGAAUAUUGCACAGUGGGCGGAAGCCUGAUGCAGCAACGCCGCGUGCGGGAUGACGGCCUUCGGGUUGUAAACCGCUUUCGCCUGUGACGAAGCGUGAGUGACGGUAAUGGGUAAAGAAGCACCGGCUAACUACGUG